CUACGGGACGCAGCAGUGGGGAAUAUUGCACAAUGGGCGCAAGCCUGAUGCAGCAACGCCGCGUGAACGAAGAAGGUCUUCGGAUCGUAAAGUUCUUUUCUUAGGGAAGAAAAAUGACGGUACCUAAGGAAUAAGCACCGGCUAAAUACGUGCCAGCAGCCGCGGUAAUACGUAUGGUGCAAGCGUUAUCCGGAAUCACUGGGCGUAAAGGGAGCGUAGGCGGUUUUGCAAGUCAGAAGUGAAAGGCUACGGCUCAACCGUGGUAAGCUUUUGAAACUGCAAGACUAGAGUGCAGGAGAGGCAAGUGGAAUUCCUAGUGUAGAGGUGAAAUUCGUAGAUAUUAGGAGGAACACCAGUGGCGAAGGCGACUUGCUGGACUGUAACUGACGCUGAGGCUCGAAAGCGUGGGGAGCGAACAGGAUUAGAUACCCCUGUAGUC
RNAcentral lists this ribosomal RNA (439 nucleotides) under uncultured bacterium. RNAcentral describes it as "partial 16S ribosomal RNA". It matches the Rfam family "Bacterial small subunit ribosomal RNA", at positions 339 to 795 of the family's 1533-position model. The record is from RNAcentral.